RNAcentral lists this long non-coding RNA (253 nucleotides) under Elaeis guineensis (African oil palm). RNAcentral describes it as "long non-coding RNA (EGUI_LNC051975)". The record is from RNAcentral. Lineage: Eukaryota; Viridiplantae; Streptophyta; Magnoliopsida; Arecales; Arecaceae.
GCCAACUUCCGUGUGGAUCACUAUUGGAGGACUUCAAUUUUGGAGUCUCAUGGAGAUCAGCAAUGUGCCACAUUAUCAUUUUGGUGAAAUUAAAAAUUUUAUUCCUUUUUUGCAUGCUUGUUUUGUUUUGAUUGACAUCGGCAAGGUGAUUCUAGGAUUUAGAUUUUGACUCGAUAGUUUUAUAUGUUAAAGCUAUUGACCUGUUUGAUUUUAAAAUUUUAAAAAUCACUUUCCACUGUGUGGUCAGAACCCA